This 2926-nucleotide ribosomal RNA is filed under the name Staphylococcus haemolyticus. Its description in RNAcentral is "bacterial LSU rRNA". It matches the Rfam family "Bacterial large subunit ribosomal RNA". The record is from RNAcentral. Lineage: Bacteria; Bacillati; Bacillota; Bacilli; Caryophanales; Staphylococcaceae.
AGAUUAAGUUAUUAAGGGCGCACGGUGGAUGCCUUGGCACUAGAAGCCGACGAAGGACGUUACUAACGACGAUAUGCUUUGGGUAGCUGUAAGUAAGCGUUGAUCCAGAGAUUUCCGAAUGGGGGAACCCAGCACGAGUUAUGUCGUGUUAUCGACAAGUGAAUUCAUAGCUUGUCAGAAGGCAGACCCGGAGAACUGAAACAUCUUAGUACCCGGAGGAAGAGAAAGAAAAAUCGAUUCCCUGAGUAGCGGCGAGCGAAACGGGAAGAGCCCAAACCAAUAAGCUUGCUUAUUGGGGUUGUAGGACACUCUAUACGGAGUUACAAAGGAAUAUAUUAGACGAAUCAUCUGGAAAGUUGAAUCAAAGAAGGUAAUAAUCCUGUAGUUGAAAAUAUAUUCUCUCUUGAGUGGAUCCUGAGUACGACGGAGCACGUGAAAUUCCGUCGGAAUCUGGGAGGACCAUCUCCUAAGGCUAAAUACUCUCUAGUGACCGAUAGUGAACCAGUACCGUGAGGGAAAGGUGAAAAGUACCCCGGAAGGGGAGUGAAAGAGAACUUGAAACCGUGUGCUUACAAGUAGUCAGAGCCCGUUAAUGGGUGAUGGCGUGCCUUUUGUAGAAUGAACCGGCGAGUUACGAUCUGAUGCAAGGUUAAGCAGGAGAUGUGGAGCCGUAGCGAAAGCGAGUCUGAAUAGGGCGUUGAGUAUUUGGUCGUAGACCCGAAACCAGGUGAUCUACCCAUGGUCAGGUUGAAGUUCAGGUAACACUGAAUGGAGGACCGAACCGACUUACGUUGAAAAGUGAGCGGAUGAACUGUGGGUAGCGGAGAAAUUCCAAUCGAACUUGGAGAUAGCUGGUUCUCUCCGAAAUAGCUUUAGGGCUAGCCUCAAGUGAUGAUUAUUGGAGGUAGAGCACUGUUUGGACGAGGGGCCCCUCUCGGGUUACCGAAUUCAGACAAACUCCGAAUGCCAAUUAAUUUAACUUGGGAGUCAGAACAUGGGUGAUAAGGUCCGUGUUCGAAAGGGAAACAGCCCAGACCACCAGCUAAGGUCCCAAAAUAUAUGUUAAGUGGAAAAGGAUGUGGCGUUGCCCAGACAACUAGGAUGUUGGCUUAGAAGCAGCCAUCAUUUAAAGAGUGCGUAAUAGCUCACUAGUCGAGUGACACUGCGCCGAAAAUGUACCGGGGCUAAACAUAUUACCGAAGCUGUGGAUUGUCCGUAGGACAAUGGUAGGAGAGCGUUCUAAGGGCGUUGAAGCAUGAUCGCAAGGACAUGUGGAGCGCUUAGAAGUGAGAAUGCCGGUGUGAGUAGCGAAAGACGGGUGAGAAUCCCGUCCACCGAUUGACUAAGGUUUCCAGAGGAAGGCUCGUCCGCUCUGGGUUAGUCGGGUCCUAAGCUGAGGCCGACAGGCGUAGGCGAUGGAUAACAGGUUGAUAUUCCUGUACCACCUAGCAUCGUUUUAAUCGAUGGGGGGACGCAGUAGGAUAGGCGAAGCGUACGAUUGGAUUGUACGUCCAAGCAGUGAGAUUGAGUGUUAGGCAAAUCCGGCACUCUUAAGAUUGAGCUGUGAUGGGGAGAGGAAAUUGUUUCCUCGAGUCGUUGAUUUCACACUGCCGAGAAAAGCCUCUAGAUAGAUAAUAGGUGCCCGUACCGCAAACCGACACAGGUAGUCAAGAUGAGAAUUCUAAGGUGAGCGAGCGAACUCUCGUUAAGGAACUCGGCAAAAUGACCCCGUAACUUCGGGAGAAGGGGUGCUCUUUAGGGUGCAAGCCCAGAAGAGCCGCAGUGAAUAGGCCCAAGCGACUGUUUAUCAAAAACACAGGUCUCUGCUAAACCGUAAGGUGAUGUAUAGGGGCUGACGCCUGCCCGGUGCUGGAAGGUUAAGAGGAGUGGUUAGCUUCUGCGAAGCUACGAAUCGAAGCCCCAGUAAACGGCGGCCGUAACUAUAACGGUCCUAAGGUAGCGAAAUUCCUUGUCGGGUAAGUUCCGACCCGCACGAAAGGCGUAACGAUUUGGGCACUGUCUCAACGAGAGACUCGGUGAAAUCAUAGUACCUGUGAAGAUGCAGGUUACCCGCGACAGGACGGAAAGACCCCGUGGAGCUUUACUGUAGCCUGAUAUUGAAAUUCGGCACAGCUUGUACAGGAUAGGUAGGAGCCUUUGAAACGUGAGCGCUAGCUUACGUGGAGGCGCUGGUGGGAUACUACCCUAGCUGUGUUGGCUUUCUAACCCGCACCACUUAUCGUGGUGGGAGACAGUGUCAGGCGGGCAGUUUGACUGGGGCGGUCGCCUCCUAAAAGGUAACGGAGGCGCUCAAAGGUUCCCUCAGAAUGGUUGGAAAUCAUUCAUAGAGUGUAAAGGCAUAAGGGAGCUUGACUGCGAGACCUACAAGUCGAGCAGGGUCGAAAGACGGACUUAGUGAUCCGGUGGUUCCGCAUGGAAGGGCCAUCGCUCAACGGAUAAAAGCUACCCCGGGGAUAACAGGCUUAUCUCCCCCAAGAGUUCACAUCGACGGGGAGGUUUGGCACCUCGAUGUCGGCUCAUCGCAUCCUGGGGCUGUAGUCGGUCCCAAGGGUUGGGCUGUUCGCCCAUUAAAGCGGUACGCGAGCUGGGUUCAGAACGUCGUGAGACAGUUCGGUCCCUAUCCGUCGUGGGCGUAGGAAAUUUGAGAGGAGCUGUCCUUAGUACGAGAGGACCGGGAUGGACAUACCUCUGGUGUACCAGUUGUCGUGCCAACGGCAUAGCUGGGUAGCUAUGUAUGGACGGGAUAAGUGCUGAAAGCAUCUAAGCAUGAAGCCCCCCUCAAGAUGAGAUUUCCCAACUUCGGUUAUAAGAUCCCUCAAAGAUGAUGAGGUUAAUAGGUUCGAGGUGGAAGCGUGGUGACACGUGGAGCUGACGAAUACUAAUCGAUCGAAGACUUAAUCAAUUU